This 484-nucleotide ribosomal RNA is filed under the name uncultured bacterium. RNAcentral describes it as "partial 16S ribosomal RNA". It matches the Rfam family "Bacterial small subunit ribosomal RNA", at positions 30 to 507 of the family's 1533-position model. The record is from RNAcentral.
AUUGAACGCUGGCGGCAGGCCUAACACAUGCAAGUCGAGCGGAUGAAGGGAGCUUGCUCCUGGAUUCAGCGGCGGACGGGUGAGUAAUGCCUAGGAAUCUGCCUGGUAGUGGGGGAUAACGUCCGGAAACGGGCGCUAAUACCGCAUACGUCCUGAGGGAGAAAGUGGGGGAUCUUCGGACCUCACGCUAUCAGAUGAGCCUAGGUCGGAUUAGCUAGUUGGUGGGGUAAAGGCCUACCAAGGCGACGAUCCGUAACUGGUCUGAGAGGAUGAUCAGUCACACUGGAACUGAGACACGGUCCAGACUCCUACGGGAGGCAGCAGUGGGGAAUAUUGGACAAUGGGCGAAAGCCUGAUCCAGCCAUGCCGCGUGUGUGAAGAAGGUCUUCGGAUUGUAAAGCACUUUAAGUUGGGAGGAAGGGCAGCAAGGUAAUACCUUGCUGUUUUGACGUUACCAACAGAAUAAGCACCGGCUAACUUCGUG